AGUGAACGCUGGCGGUAGGCCUAACACAUGCAAGUCGAACGGCAGCACAGUAAGAGCUUGCUCUUACGGGUGGCGAGUGGCGGACGGGUGAGGAAUACAUCGGAAUCUACUUUUUCGUGGGGGAUAACGUAGGGAAACUUACGCUAAUACCGCAUACGACCUACGGGUGAAAGCAGGGGAUCUUCGGACUUUGCGCGAUUGAUUGAGCGGAGGUCGGAUUAGCUAGUUGGCGGGGUAAAGGCCCACCAAGGCGACGAUCCGUAGCUGGUCUGAGAGGAUGAUCAGCCACACUGGAACUGAGACACGGUCCAGACUCCUACGGGAGGCAGCAGUGGGGAAUAUUGGACAAUGGGCGCAAGCCUGAUCCAGCCAUACCGCGUGGGUGAAGAAGGCCUUCGGGUUGUAAAGCCCUUUUGUUGGGAAAGAAAGGCAGCAGGUUAAUACCCCGCUGUUCUGACGGUACCCAAAGAAUAAGCACCGGCUAACUUCGUG
This 492-nucleotide ribosomal RNA is filed under the name uncultured bacterium. RNAcentral's name for it is "partial 16S ribosomal RNA". It matches the Rfam family "Bacterial small subunit ribosomal RNA", at positions 29 to 507 of the family's 1533-position model. The record is from RNAcentral.